UCCCGCAACGAGCGCAACCCUUAUCCUUUGUUGCCAGCGGUCCGGCCGGGAACUCAAAGGAGACUGCCAGUGAUAAACUGGAGGAAGGUGGGGAUGACGUCAAGUCAUCAUGGCCCUUACGACCAGGGCUACACACGUGCUACAAUGGCGCAUACAAAGAGAAGCGACCUCGCGAGAGCAAGCGGACCUCAUAAAGUGCGUCGUAGUCCGGAUUGGAGUCUGCAACUCGACUCCAUGAAGUCGGAAUCGCUAGUAAUCGUGGAUCAGAAUGCCACGGUGAAUACGUUCCCGGGCCUUGUACACACCGCCCGUCACACCAUGGGAGUGGGUUGCAAAAGAAGUAGGUAGCUUAACCUUCGGGAGGGCGCUUACCACUUUGUGAUUCAUGACUGGGGUGAAGUCGUAACAAGGUAACCGUAGGGGAACCUGC
This 430-nucleotide ribosomal RNA is filed under the name Salmonella enterica subsp. enterica serovar Infantis. RNAcentral's name for it is "bacterial SSU rRNA". It matches the Rfam family "Bacterial small subunit ribosomal RNA", at positions 1085 to 1515 of the family's 1533-position model. The record is from RNAcentral. RNAcentral also lists the same sequence under 2 other names. Lineage: Bacteria; Pseudomonadati; Pseudomonadota; Gammaproteobacteria; Enterobacterales; Enterobacteriaceae.